GUACGCUAUUCAGAGUUUGAUCCUGGCUCAGGAUGAACGCUGGCGGCGUGCUUAACACAUGCAAGUCGAACGAAGCACUGGGAAUGAAGUUUUCGGACAGAUUUCCCUUUGACUUAGUGGCGGACGGGUGAGUAACGCGUGGGCAACCUGCCGUAUGCAGGGGGACAACAGUUGGAAACGGCUGCUAAUACCGCAUAAGCGCACGGUACCGCAUGGUACAGUGUGAAAAGAUUUAUCGGCAUACGAUGGGCCCGCGUUGGAUUAGGCAGUUGGCAGGGUAACGGCCUACCAAACCGACGAUCCAUAGCCGACCUGAGAGGGUGACCGGCCACAUUGGGACUGAGACACGGCCCAA
Molecule: ribosomal RNA, 355 nt
Filed under: uncultured bacterium
Lineage: Bacteria
Description: bacterial SSU rRNA
Rfam family: Bacterial small subunit ribosomal RNA
Source: RNAcentral